AAGGGAGAGGGCGAUCUUGGGAGAGUGCUAAUUUUUCUAAGCCAUGGUUAAACUCCAUGGGUCCCUUG
RNAcentral lists this transfer RNA (68 nucleotides) under Enchelycore pardalis (leopard moray eel). Its description in RNAcentral is "tRNA-Ser". Lineage: Eukaryota; Metazoa; Chordata; Actinopteri; Anguilliformes; Muraenidae. The record is from RNAcentral.